Non-coding RNA from Pteropus alecto (black flying fox), 129 nucleotides. Lineage: Eukaryota; Metazoa; Chordata; Mammalia; Chiroptera; Pteropodidae. The record is from Rfam.
CUCUACGGCCACGCCAACCUGAACGUGCCCGAUCCCGUCUGAUCUCGGGAGCUAAGCAGGGUCGGGCCUGGUUAGUACUUGGAUGGGAGACCACCUAGGAAAAUAAUAAAAAAUAAGGGAUUGUAAGCU